UCCUACGGGGCGCAGCAGUGGGGAAUAUUGCACAAUGGGGGAAACCCUGAUGCAGCGACGCCGCGUGAGUGAAGAAGCGCCUCGGCGCGUAAAGCUCUGUCAGCAGGAACGAUAAUGACGGUACCUGAAGAAGAAGCCCCGGCUAACUACGUGCCAGCAGCCGCGGUAAUACGUAGGGGGCAAGCGUUAUCCGGAUUUACUGGGUGUAAAGGGAGCGUAGACGGCGGGGCAAGUCUGGAGUGAAAGGCCGGGGCCCAACCCCGGGACCGC
RNAcentral lists this ribosomal RNA (270 nucleotides) under uncultured bacterium. Its description in RNAcentral is "partial 16S ribosomal RNA". It matches the Rfam family "Bacterial small subunit ribosomal RNA", at positions 337 to 624 of the family's 1533-position model. The record is from RNAcentral.